AACGACAUUGAAAGUACGAAAUUAUUAUUGAGCCCUUUCCCCACCUUUACUUUCCUUGCGGUCAAUAGAGUUCCCCUUCUGUCAGUGUGAAAUAAUAUUAUACAAAACUAAAAACCAACCAACCAAGCAUUAUCUUACAUUGACAGUACAGCAAUAGAAUACGCAAGAAUUUUUCAAAGAGCAACCCAUGUCCGGAGAUGGAAAUUGAUGUUGAUUAGCCUGGUCGUCCAUAAAAGGAAGGAGACAUUUUUCUGCUGGUCCAUCAUUGAUAUGAAACAGCUAGGAAUCUACAAAUCAUAAUUUCGCGAGUACAUAUUAUUGCAUGAAGAUAUCUUCGCACAUUGUUAAUAAUGUUAGUUAAAUUUAAAACAAUUUGUAAUGCAAAUUAUUUAGAUAGGGAUAUUGAAACAAAAAAUGUUUAUAUUAACUAGGAAAUUACAAAAAUAAGUUUAUAGUUGUAAGCAAAAUACAAUAGUUUAAGCUCAAGAGGAUUCAGCAUCAACUUCAUGGAAAAAGUCUUCUCAUCAAGGAUGAGGGAGACAUAUUUUUUUGGAGUCAUCGAAGAGAAGUCUACAACGAAACAAGAGUCGAAAGAAGACACCGUCACGUGAUUGAAAAAUGUUUUAAAAA
Long non-coding RNA from Leptopilina heterotoma, 630 nucleotides. RefSeq lists it as uncharacterized. The record is from RefSeq and is a predicted model, not a curated record. NCBI's taxonomy places the organism in Eukaryota, Metazoa, Arthropoda, Insecta, Hymenoptera, Figitidae. The transcript has 4 exons.